UGGGGAAUCUUGCACAAUGGGGGAAACCCUGAUGCAGCGACGCCGCGUGAACGAUGAAGCCCUUCGGGGUGUAAAGUUCUUUCGGCAGGAACGAUAAUGACGGUACCUGAAGAAGAAGCUGCGGCUAACUACGUGCCAGCAGCCGCGGUAAUACGUAGGCAGCAAACGUUGUUCGGAGUUACUGGGCGUAAAGAGUACGUAGGCGGUUUGCCAAGUUUGGUGUGAAAUCUCCUGGCUUAACUGGGAGGGUGCGCCGAAUACUGGCGAGCUUGAGUAUUGGAGAGGAAAGCGGAAUUCCUGGUGUAGCGGUGAAAUGCGUAGAUAUCAGGAGGAACACCGGUGGUGUAGACGGCUUUCUGGACAAUCACUGACGCUGAGGUACGAAAGCGUGGGUAGCAAAC
Molecule: ribosomal RNA, 401 nt
Filed under: uncultured bacterium
Lineage: Bacteria
Description: bacterial SSU rRNA
Rfam family: Bacterial small subunit ribosomal RNA
Source: RNAcentral